AGUAAUGCCUAGGAAUCUGCCUGGUAGUGGGGGACAACGUUUCGAAAGGAACGCUAAUACCGCAUACGUCCUACGGGAGAAAGCAGGGACCUUCGGGCCUUGCGCUAUCAGAUGAGCCUAGGUCGGAUUAGCUAGUUGGUGAGGUAAUGGCUCACCAAGGCGACGAUCCGUAACUGGUCUGAGAGGAUGGUCAGUCACACUGGAACUGAGACACGGUCCAGACUCCUACGGGAGGCAGCAGGU
RNAcentral lists this ribosomal RNA (243 nucleotides) under uncultured Pseudomonas sp. Its description in RNAcentral is "partial 16S ribosomal RNA". It matches the Rfam family "Bacterial small subunit ribosomal RNA", at positions 109 to 354 of the family's 1533-position model. The record is from RNAcentral. Lineage: Bacteria; Pseudomonadati; Pseudomonadota; Gammaproteobacteria; Pseudomonadales; Pseudomonadaceae.